AUUGAACGCUGGCGGCAUGCCUUUCACAUGCAAGUCGAACGCGAAAGGGGGCAACCCCGAGUAGAGUGGCGAACGGGUGAGCAAUACAUCGGAACGUGUCCUGUAGCGGGGGACAACCUCGAGAAAUCGAGGCUAAUACCGCAUACGAUCUACGGAUGAAAGUGGGGGACCGCAAGGCCCCACACUAUAGGAGCGGCCGA
Molecule: ribosomal RNA, 200 nt
Filed under: uncultured bacterium
Lineage: Bacteria
Description: partial 16S ribosomal RNA
Rfam family: Bacterial small subunit ribosomal RNA
Source: RNAcentral